UUAAAAAUGUAAUUUUCAAUCUCGCAACACUGCCCAGACUGACGUGCUACGUGCUUCUGGCGGUGGUACGCCAUGUUUAUUUUUUCAACUCUUGUUUGAACGAAAAGUUUCUUUCGUUGUCAAUUAUUUAUCAUUUGAAGCGCACCCCAAGGGGCACCCACUCUGGCCGAAAAAAUCGUCGAAUACACCGACCGCUUCAAUUCCGGCUCCAUGCAACUGGGCGCCGACGAGCUGCACAUCACAUUCCGGAUCAUCGUUCAGUGACCGUCGCUCGUCUACCAGCGGUUUUCCCGUUCCUUCUACGACUCCAGCUUUAGCAAUGCCGACAACAUCUAAGCCAAACCGGCGUCAUCAGCAAAACCAAAUCACUGGUCGUGCGCUAUCUCUGCGCACAGGUCCCGCUCCAACCAGCUCGGAAUCAUUGAAUCCAACUCGCUGUCGAUGUCCGUCCUCAAACUGCAUACGGACUGGACCGAGCGGAACAACUUCCUCCAGGGCUACCUGCUGCAUGCUGCAUGGAUCCUGAGAUCAUAUCCGGACCGGUGCGGACGUUUGCGAGCGCCCAAAGAAAAAUCGGCUUUGGAGCGCCUCCGAACACGAAGGGAAUCCAGCAAGACAUGAGCUACCCUGGGUCUGCGGAUCGCUACUGCGGAUUCCUGAUGAUUUCUCAAUGUGUAUCGCCGUUGCAUGCCACCUACCGGUGCUUUCGUGAUAGAUUUGCUGAUGUAUAGUAUCAUAUGAGUUUUGCUGAAAUAUAGAAUCAUAUCUUAAAUUUACAAAUCCUUCAAAAAA
This is a long non-coding RNA of Armigeres subalbatus, 792 nucleotides long. RefSeq lists it as uncharacterized. NCBI's taxonomy places the organism in Eukaryota, Metazoa, Arthropoda, Insecta, Diptera, Culicidae. The transcript has 3 exons. The record is from RefSeq and is a predicted model, not a curated record.